Molecule: ribosomal RNA, 468 nt
Filed under: uncultured bacterium
Lineage: Bacteria
Description: partial 16S ribosomal RNA
Rfam family: Bacterial small subunit ribosomal RNA
Source: RNAcentral
GACGAACGCUGGCGGCGUGCUUAACACAUGCAAGUCGAACGGAAAGGCCCUGCUUUUGUGGGGUGUUCGAGUGGCGAACGGGUGAGUAACACGUGAGUAACCUGCCCUUGACUUUGGGAUAACUUCAGGUAACUGGGGCUAAUACCGGAUAGGAGCUCCUGCUGCAUGGUGGGGGUUGGAAAGUUUCGGCGUUUGGGGAUGGACUCGCGGCUUAUCAGCUUGUUGGUGGGGUAGUGGCUUACCAAGGCUUUGACGGGUAGCCGGCCUGAGAGGGUGACCGGCCACAUUGGGACUGAGAUACGGCCCAGACUCCUACGGGAGGCAGCAGUGGGGAAUAUUGCACAAUGGGCGGAAGCCUGAUGCAGCAACGCCGCGUGCGGGAUGACGGCCUUCGGGUUGUAAACCGCUUUCGCCUGUGACGAAGCGUGAGUGACGGUAAUGGGUAAAGAAGCACCGGCUAACUACGUG